GCCGUAGCCAUUUUGGCUCAAG
RNAcentral lists this small RNA (22 nucleotides) under Prorocentrum minimum. RNAcentral's name for it is "trans-spliced leader sequence SL-like". Lineage: Eukaryota; Dinophyceae; Prorocentrales; Prorocentraceae. RNAcentral also lists the same sequence under 4 other names. The record is from RNAcentral.